UACAGAGGUGGCAAGCGUUGUUCGGAAUUACUGGGCGUAAAGGGCUCGUAGGCGGCCAACUAAGUCAGACGUGAAAUCCCCAGGCUCAACCUGGGAACUGCGUCUGAUACUGGAGGGCUUGAAUCCGGGAGAGGGAUGAAGAAUUCCAGGUGUAGCGGUGAAAUGCGUAGAUAUCUGGAGGAAUACCGGUGGCGAAGGCAGCAUCCUGGACCGGCAUUGACGCUGAGGAGCGAAAGCCAGGGGAGCAAACGGG
RNAcentral lists this ribosomal RNA (253 nucleotides) under uncultured bacterium. RNAcentral's name for it is "partial 16S ribosomal RNA". It matches the Rfam family "Bacterial small subunit ribosomal RNA", at positions 524 to 776 of the family's 1533-position model. The record is from RNAcentral.